CCCGAACUCGCUCAACGGUAGAGCACGAGACUCAAGAUCUCGCAUUCGAAGGUUCGACUCCUUCGUUCGCCGGACCC
Molecule: transfer RNA, 77 nt
Filed under: Corallococcus exiguus
Lineage: Bacteria; Pseudomonadati; Myxococcota; Myxococcia; Myxococcales; Myxococcaceae
Also listed under: 4 other names
Description: tRNA-Leu
Rfam family: tRNA
About the family: Transfer RNA (tRNA) molecules are approximately 80 nucleotides in length. Their secondary structure includes four short double-helical elements and three loops (D, anti-codon, and T loops). Further hydrogen bonds mediate the characteristic L-shaped molecular structure. tRNAs have two regions of fundamental functional importance: the anti-codon, which is responsible for specific mRNA codon recognition, and the 3' end, to which the tRNAs corresponding amino acid is attached (by aminoacyl-tRNA synthetases). tRNAs cope with the degeneracy of the genetic code in two manners: having more than one tRNA (with a specific anti-codon) for a particular amino acid; and 'wobble' base-pairing, i.e. permitting non-standard base-pairing at the 3rd anti-codon position.
Source: RNAcentral